UGAGUACGAGACACUACGGUGUCGAAGCAGUCUAUGUCAUACUUCCAAGAAAAGCUUGCACUGUCAUAAACAAAUAAUGCCUGUACCAUAACCGACACAGGUGGGUAGGUAGAGUAUACUAAGGGGCGCGAGAUAACUCUCUCUAAGGAACUCGGCAAAAUGACUCCGUAACUUCGGGAGAAGGAGUGCCUUAUAUUUUAUAAGGUUGCAAUAACAAGAUCCAAGCAACUGUUUACCAAAAACACAGGUCUCCGCUAAGUCGUAAGACGAUGUAUGGGGGCUGACGCCUGCCCAGUGCCAGAAGGUUAAAGAAGUUGGUUAGUAUUUGCGAAGCUGAUAACUGAAGCCCUGGUGAACGGCGGCCGUAACAAUAACGGUCCUAAGGUAGCGAAAUUCCUUGUCGGGUAAGUUCCGACCCGCACGAAAGGCGUAAUGAUUUGGAUACUGUCUCGGAGAGGGACUCGGUGAAAUAGACUUGUCUGUGAAGAUGCGGACUACUUGCGCCAGGACAGAAAGACCCUAUGAAGCUUUACUGUAACUUGAAAUUGAAAUUGGACUUUACUUGCGCAGUAUAGGUGGGAGGCUUUGAGAAUAUUCUUGCGGGAAUAUUGGAGCCAUUAGUGAGAUACCACUCUGGUAAUGUUAGAUUUCUAACUUUGUAUCAUUAUCUGGUCAAAGAACAGUUUCAGGCGGGCAGUUUGACUGGGGCGGUCGCCUCCUAAACGGUAACGGAGGCGCACAAAGGUUUCCUCUGAACGGGUAGAAAUCGUAUCUAGAGUGUAAAGGCAUAAGGAAGCUUGACUGUGAGACCUACAAGUCGAGCAGGGACGAAAGUCGGUCUUAGUGAUCUGACGGUGCUGAGUGGAAAGGCCGUCACUCAACGGAUAAAAGUUACUCUAGGAUAACAGGCUGAUCUCCCCCAAGAGUUCACAUCGACGGGGAGGUUUGGCACCUCGAUGUCGGCUCAUCGCAUCCUGGGGCGGUAGUACGUCCCAAGGGUUGGGCUGUUCGCCCAUGAAAGCGGUACGCGAGCUGGGUUCAGAACGUCGUGAGACAGUUCGGUCCAUAUCCGGUGUAAGCGUUAGAAUAUUGAGAGGAGCCUUCCUUAGUACGAGAGGACCGAGAAGGAUGCACCGCUGGUGUACCAGUUAUUGUGCCAACAGUAAACGCUGGGUAGCUAUGUGUGGAGUGGAUAACCGCUGAAAGCAUCUAAGUGGGAAGCCCACCUCAAGAUAAGUAUUCUUAUCACGUAAGUGAAUAAGGUCACGGUAAGACUAACCGUUUGAUAGGCAUUAAGUGUAAAUCUAGUAAUAGACGAGCUGAGAUGUACUAACAGACCGAAGAC
RNAcentral lists this ribosomal RNA (1345 nucleotides) under metagenome. RNAcentral's name for it is "bacterial LSU rRNA". It matches the Rfam family "Bacterial large subunit ribosomal RNA", at positions 1564 to 2925 of the family's 2925-position model. The record is from RNAcentral.